RNAcentral lists this ribosomal RNA (425 nucleotides) under uncultured bacterium. RNAcentral describes it as "partial 16S ribosomal RNA". It matches the Rfam family "Bacterial small subunit ribosomal RNA", at positions 354 to 796 of the family's 1533-position model. The record is from RNAcentral.
GUGGGGAAUAUUGGUCAAUGGGCGCAAGCCUGAUCCAGCCAUGCCGCGUGAGUGAUGAAGGCCUUAGGGUUGUAAAGCUCUUUCAGUGGGGACGAUAAUGACGGUACCCACAGAAGAAGCCCCGGCUAACUUCGUGCCAGCAGCCGCGGUAAUACGAAGGGGGCUAGCGUUGUUCGGAUUUACUGGGCGUAAAGCGCACGUAGGCGGAUCGUUAAGUCGGGGGUGAAAUCCUGGAGCUCAACUCCAGAACUGGCUUCGAUACUGGCGAUCUUGAGUCCGGAAGAGGUGAGUGGAACUCCUAGUGUAGAGGUGGAAUUCGUAGAUAUUAGGAAGAACACCAGUGGCGAAGGCGGCUCACUGGUCCGGUACUGACGCUGAGGUGCGAAAGCGUGGGGAGCAAACAGGAUUAGAAACCCGGGUAGUCC